AAACUCACCAGAUAAGACAGCUGAAUGAUAGUCGGGCUGAAGACUCUACUUGACUAGCUGAGAGGAGGUGCAUGGCCGUCGUCAGUUCGUACUGUGAAGCAUCCUGUUAAGUCAGGCAACGAGCGAGACCCACGCCAACAGUUGCCAGCUCGUCCUCCGGGAUGGUGGGGACACUGUUGGGACCGCCUCUGCUAAAGAGGAGGAAGGAAUGGGCAACGGUAGGUCAGCAUGCCCCGAAUUAUCUGGGCUACACGCGGGCUACAAUGGGUGGGACAAUGGGUAUCGACACUGAAAGGUGAAGGCAAUCUCCUAAACCCAUCCGUAGUUCGGAUUGUGGGCUGCAACUCGCCCACAUGAAGCUGGAAUCUGUAGUAAUCGUGUCUCAAAAUGGCACGGUGAAUAUGUCCCUGCUCCUU
Molecule: ribosomal RNA, 416 nt
Filed under: uncultured Methanomicrobiales archaeon
Lineage: Archaea; Methanobacteriati; Methanobacteriota; Methanomicrobia; Methanomicrobiales
Description: bacterial SSU rRNA
Rfam family: Archaeal small subunit ribosomal RNA
Source: RNAcentral